AUAUAUAUAUAUGACGUAACAAAGGUGAUGACAUGCUUUUGUCAUAUUCUUAGAUUCUAUUUCUUGACUACAUGGAGCUUUCUAGGUUAUUCCACAACCAUAAACUAGAUAUCAGAGCAUGUAAGUCACCCUUUGCAUGGACGUGUCAGAUUUUUCUUAAAAACAAUAGAGAUGGAAACAUCUAAGAAUUAGAUACAACAAUGAUUAAUAGUUAUUUUUCGACCACUUUGGAGAAAAAAA
This 240-nucleotide long non-coding RNA is filed under the name Phoenix dactylifera (date palm). RNAcentral's name for it is "long non-coding RNA (PDAC_LNC006829)". The record is from RNAcentral. Lineage: Eukaryota; Viridiplantae; Streptophyta; Magnoliopsida; Arecales; Arecaceae.